Molecule: ribosomal RNA, 397 nt
Filed under: uncultured bacterium
Lineage: Bacteria
Description: partial 16S ribosomal RNA
Rfam family: Bacterial small subunit ribosomal RNA
Source: RNAcentral
AUACGUAGGUGGCAAGCGUUGUCCGGAUUUAUUGGGCGUAAAGCGCGCGCAGGUGGUUCCUUAAGUCUGAUGUGAAAGCCCCCGGCUCAACCGGGGAGGGUCAUUGGAAACUGGGGAACUUGAGUGCAGACGAGGAUGGUGGAAUUCCAAGUGUAGCGGUGAAAUGCGUAGAGAUUUGGAGGAACACCAGUGGCGAAGUCGACUGUCUGGUCUGUAACUGACACUGAGGCGCGAAAGCGUGGGGAGCAAACAGGAUUAGAUACCCUGGUAGUCCACGCCGUAAACGAUGAGUGCUAAGUGUUGGGGGGUUUCCGCCCCUCAGUGCUGCAGCUAACGCAUUAAGCACUCCGCCUGGGGAGUACGGUCGCAAGACUGAAACUCAAAUGAAUUGGCGGGG